RNAcentral lists this ribosomal RNA (468 nucleotides) under Blastocystis sp. RNAcentral describes it as "SSU rRNA". Lineage: Eukaryota; Bigyra; Opalinata; Blastocystidae. The record is from RNAcentral.
AUAAAUCACAAUGCGGAACUUCUGUUUUGCAAUUGGAUUGAGAACAACGCACAACACUUAUCGAUAAACAAUUGGAGGGCAAGUCUGGUGCCAGCAGCCGCGGUAAUUCCAGCUCCAAUAGCGUAUAUUAACGUUGUUGCAGUUAAAAAGCUCGUAGUUGAAGUGAAGUGUGGAACUUUUGCAUUUUCGUUUGAAUUUCCUUCUGUUUCAUACUCUUUCCAAAUAGUUUGCAUGGGUAUUCAHUUAUCUGUGUAUUGCAUUUGGUCAUUUACUGUGAGAAAAUUAGAGUGUUCAAAGCAUACGUUUGUUUGAAUACAUUAGCAUGGAAUAAUUCGAAAAGGCUUUCAUGUUCGAUUUGAUUGGUUUGUUCGUGAAGGCAAGAUUAAAAGGGACAGUUGGGGGUAUUCAUAUUCAAUAGUCAGAGGUGAAAUUCUCGGAUUUAUGGAAGAUGAACAAGUGCGAAAGCAA